AUUGAACGCUGGCGGCAUGCCUUACACAUGCAAGUCGAACGGUAACAGGUCUUCGGAUGCUGACGUGUGGCGAACGGGUGAGUAAUACAUCGGAACGUGCCCGAUCGUGGGGGAUAACGAAGCGAAAGCUUUGCUAAUACCGCAUACGAUCUACGGAUGAAAGCAGGGGACCGCAAGGCCUUGCGCGAACGGAGCGGCCGAUGGCAGAUUAGGUAGUUGGUGGGAUAAAAGCUGACCAAGCCGACGAUCUGUAGCUGGUCUGAGAGGACGACCAGCCACACUGGGACUGAGACACGGCCCAGACUCCUACGGGAGGCAGCAGUGGGGAAUUUUGGACAAUGGGCGAAAGCCUGAUCCAGCCAUGCCGCGUGCAGGAUGAAGGCCUUCGGGUUGUAAACUGCUUUUGUACGGAACGAAAAGACUCUGGUUAAUACCUGGGGUCCAUGACGGUACCGUAAGAAUAAGCACCGGCUAACUACGUG
Molecule: ribosomal RNA, 482 nt
Filed under: uncultured bacterium
Lineage: Bacteria
Description: partial 16S ribosomal RNA
Rfam family: Bacterial small subunit ribosomal RNA
Source: RNAcentral